CGUUGAAUCACCGGUUCUCGUCCGAUCACUGAAGUUAAGGAACGUUGGUCCUGGGCAGUACCUAGAUGGGUGACCGCUUGGGAAUAAAAGGUGUUGUAAG
Molecule: ribosomal RNA, 100 nt
Filed under: Acanthosepion pharaonis
Lineage: Eukaryota; Metazoa; Mollusca; Cephalopoda; Sepiida; Sepiidae
Source: RNAcentral